RNAcentral lists this ribosomal RNA (253 nucleotides) under uncultured bacterium. RNAcentral describes it as "partial 16S ribosomal RNA". It matches the Rfam family "Bacterial small subunit ribosomal RNA", at positions 524 to 776 of the family's 1533-position model. The record is from RNAcentral.
UACAGAGGUCUCAAGCGUUGUUCGGAUUCAUUGGGCGUAAAGGGUGCGUAGGCGGCGCGGUAAGUCGGGUGUGAAAUCUUGGAGCUUAACUCCGAAACUGCAUUCGAUACUGCCGUGCUUGAGGACUGGAGAGGAGACUGGAAUUUACGGUGUAGCGGUGAAAUGCGUAGAUAUCGUAAGGAAGACCAGUGGCGAAGGCGGGUCUCUGGGACGUGACUGACGCUGAGACGCGAAAGCGUGGGGAGCAAACAGG